RNAcentral lists this ribosomal RNA (400 nucleotides) under phytoplankton environmental sample. RNAcentral describes it as "partial small subunit ribosomal RNA". It matches the Rfam family "Eukaryotic small subunit ribosomal RNA", at positions 587 to 978 of the family's 1831-position model. The record is from RNAcentral.
AGCUCCAAUAGCGUAUAUUAAAGUUGUUGCAGUUAAAAAGCUCGUAGUUGGAUUUCUGGUGAGAUGGAUUAUGUCUAGGUCGAAAGAUCUUGUUCAUGGUUCGUUUUGCCCUUCUUGUCAGGAACCCGCUGAGAUUCGCGUCUUGUCGGUGGAAUGGCAUCGUUUACUGUGAAAAAAUUAGAGUGUUCAAAGCAGGCAUUCAUCGUGCCCGAAUACAUGAGCAUGGAAUAAUGGAACAGGACUACGGUCACUGCACUUUUUCCGUUGGUUUCGGAGGACCGAAGUAAUGAUUAAGAGGGACAGUUGGGGGCAUCCGUAUUUCGUAGUCAGAGGUGAAAUUCUUGGAUCUGCGAAAGACGAACGAGUGCGAAAGCAUUUGCCAAGAGUGUUUUCAUUAAUC